CUGCGGGGAGUAGACUAACAGGAUCCCUUAGUAACGGCGAGUGAACAGGGAAGAGCCCAGCACCGAAGCCUGUGGCCAGUUGGUCACUAGGCAAUGUGGUGUUCAGGUCAUCUCACAGUGGUGCCGCUCCACCCUAAGUCCAACACUGAGUGCGGUUGUAUGGACAUGGCCCAGGGAGGGUGAAAGGCCCGUGGGGGUGGAGGUCAGACAUGUCGGUAUCACUAUAUGAGUAGACCUUGGAGUCGGGGUGUUUGUGAAUGCACAA
RNAcentral lists this ribosomal RNA (265 nucleotides) under Prosorhynchus bulbosus. RNAcentral's name for it is "partial large subunit ribosomal RNA". It matches the Rfam family "Eukaryotic large subunit ribosomal RNA", at positions 51 to 287 of the family's 3401-position model. The record is from RNAcentral. Lineage: Eukaryota; Metazoa; Platyhelminthes; Trematoda; Strigeidida; Bucephalidae.